Molecule: long non-coding RNA, 263 nt
Filed under: Ananas comosus (pineapple)
Lineage: Eukaryota; Viridiplantae; Streptophyta; Magnoliopsida; Poales; Bromeliaceae
Description: long non-coding RNA (ACOM_LNC030372)
Source: RNAcentral
ACCAGAGAUUUGGACCUGUCACCUGUUCACACUACCUCAUUUAGCUCUAGGAGCCGUUGUAAUUUUGUAUCGUCGCAGUAUCGAGGCGACGGAUACCCCUAGUAGUUUAGCUUUCAGUUACGCUCGUGCUGGGAUGCCGAGUGUAUUUUUACUGUAUCGUUCAGACUGUUCCGGACUGUUGGGUGCCGUCGAAGUUGGCGGUGGACCCAUAUCGCCUUUUUGGCAUCGGAUUGUGCUGAGGGCACGUGACCUGUUGGCUGUUA